Mesocricetus auratus (golden hamster) is the source of this 555-nucleotide long non-coding RNA. RefSeq lists it as uncharacterized. The record is from RefSeq and is a predicted model, not a curated record. NCBI's taxonomy places the organism in Eukaryota, Metazoa, Chordata, Mammalia, Rodentia, Cricetidae. The transcript is spliced from 3 exons.
ACCUCACCGCCCAAUGGGAAGAGGCAAAGCCUCGGAUGGGCGGGGUCGCACGUAUUGGGGCGGGCCUAGCCGGCCGGGAAAUAUAAAUUAUGCGCUAGCGUCCCCUUCUGGCUGCCAACGGUAGGGGCGAUUCCCUGAGAGGUGUGGCCUUUGAGUGGGCGCGGCCUCGAAGAAGGGGCGGAGCCGAAUGCCUACAGAGGGCUCGCGUCAGCAGAGUUCUUUUGGAGGCUGUGAAGACUUUAUGGAGUCGAGCCCAGAUGGAAGAGGUUCUCAGACCACCUGAAGUGAGCUACAGAUGAGAUGGGAGUAACUCCGCCUUCUCCAUCCACCAUGCCCUACAACCCCUUGACGCGGAGUACAGUUGGGAACAGCAAUGGCAGCUGGAACAGUACUUCGAGAAGGAGCCACCCAGACCUCGAGGCUCGAAGGGAUCUGGCCACCAAACUUGACCUGACCGAGGAACAAGUUGAGACUUGGUUCGUUCAGCCCUCCUUGGAGGAGGAGAUGCCGCGACCAAACUCCUUUCCAUAUUCCUUUGCUUACCGAUGUCCAGGA